ACCUGCCCAUUGAGAUUUGAAAGGCCGCGGUAUUAUGACCGUGCUAAGGUAGCAUAAUCAUUAGUCUUUUAAUUGGAGGCUGGAAUGAAUGGUCGGACAAGAGAUAAGCUGUCUUAAGUAAAAAUAUUGAAUUUAACUUUUAAGUGAAAAGGCUUAAAUCCUCUAGGGGGACGAUAAGACCCUAUAAAACUUUAUAUUUUGAAAUAAUAAUUAAUUUUGUGUGGGAGGUUUAUUUUUAAGUAUUUUAUUGGGGUGAUAAGGAUAAAAUAAUAAGUAACUGUCUUUUUUUUAUUACAAUAAUAUUUGAGCAAAUGAACCUAGUAAGGGAAAGAAGAUUAAGUUACUUUAGGGAUAACAGCGUAAUUUUUUUUUAAGAGUUCUUAUCGACAAGAAAGUUUGCGACCUCGAUGUUGAAUUAAAAAUUCUUUAUAGAGCAGAAACUAUAAAAGAAGGUCUGUUCGACCUUUAAAAUUUUAC
RNAcentral lists this ribosomal RNA (477 nucleotides) under Austropotamobius torrentium (stone crayfish). RNAcentral describes it as "partial 16S ribosomal RNA". It matches the Rfam family "Bacterial large subunit ribosomal RNA", at positions 1857 to 2599 of the family's 2925-position model. Lineage: Eukaryota; Metazoa; Arthropoda; Malacostraca; Decapoda; Astacidae. The record is from RNAcentral.